Molecule: ribosomal RNA, 496 nt
Filed under: uncultured bacterium
Lineage: Bacteria
Description: partial 16S ribosomal RNA
Rfam family: Bacterial small subunit ribosomal RNA
Source: RNAcentral
AUGAACGCUGGCGGCGUGCCUAAUACAUGCAAGUCGAGCGAACAGAUAAGGAGCUUGCUCCUUUGACGUUAGCGGCGGACGGGUGAGUAACACGUGGAUAACCUACCCAUAAGACUGGGAUAACUUCGGGAAACCGGAGCUAAUACCGGAUAACAUAUUGAACCGCAUGGUUCAAUAGUGAAAGGCGGCUUUGCUGUCACUUAUAGAUGGAUCCGCGCCGUAUUAGCUAGUUGGUAAGGUAACGGCUUACCAAGGCAACGAUACGUAGCCGACCUGAGAGGGUGAUCGGCCACACUGGAACUGAGACACGGUCCAGACUCCUACGGGAGGCAGCAGUAGGGAAUCUUCCGCAAUGGGCGAAAGCCUGACGGAGCAACGCCGCGUGAGUGAUGAAGGUCUUCGGAUCGUAAAACUCUGUUAUCAGGGAAGAACAAAUGUGUAAGUAACUGUGCACAUCUUGACGGUACCUGAUCAGAAAGCCACGGCUAACUACGUG